This 1373-nucleotide ribosomal RNA is filed under the name uncultured bacterium. RNAcentral's name for it is "bacterial SSU rRNA". It matches the Rfam family "Bacterial small subunit ribosomal RNA", at positions 28 to 1381 of the family's 1533-position model. The record is from RNAcentral.
GAUGAACGCUGGCGGCGUGCCUAAUACAUGCAAGUCGAGCGAACGGACGAGAAGCUUGCUUCUCUGAUGUUAGCGGCGGACGGGUGAGUAACACGUGGAUAACCUACCUAUAAGACUGGGAUAACUUCGGGAAACCGGAGCUAAUACCGGAUGAUAUUUUGAACCGCAUGGUUCAAAAGUGAAAGACGGUCUUGCUGUCACUUAUAGAUGGAUCCGCGCUGCAUUAGCUAGUUGGUAAGGUAACGGCUUACCAAGGCAACGAUGCAUAGCCGACCUGAGAGGGUGAUCGGCCACACUGGAACUGAGACACGGUCCAGACUCCUACGGGAGGCAGCAGUAGGGAAUCUUCCGCAAUGGGCGAAAGCCUGACGGAGCAACGCCGCGUGAGUGAUGAAGGUCUUCGGAUCGUAAAACUCUGUUAUUAGGGAAGAACAUAUGUGUAAGUAACUGUGCACAUCUUGACGGUACCUAAUCAGAAAGCCACGGCUAACUACGUGCCAGCAGCCGCGGUAAUACGUAGGUGGCAAGCGUUAUCCGGAAUUAUUGGGCGUAAAGCGCGCGUAGCGGUUUUUUAAGUCUGAUGUGAAAGCCCACGGCUCAACCGUGGAGGGUCAUUGGAAACUGGAAAACUUGAGUGCAGAAGAGGAAAGUGGAAUUCCAUGUGUAGCGGUGAAAUGCGCAGAGAUAUGGAGGAACACCAGUGGCGAAGGCGACUUUCUGGUCUGUAACUGACGCUGAUGUGCGAAAGCGUGGGGAUCAAACAGGAUUAGAUACCCUGGUAGUCCACGCCGUAAACGAUGAGUGCUAAGUGUUAGGGGGUUUCCGCCCCUUAGUGCUGCAGCUAACGCAUUAAGCACUCCGCCUGGGGAGUACGACCGCAAGGUUGAAACUCAAAGGAAUUGACGGGGACCCGCACAAGCGGUGGAGCAUGUGGUUUAAUUCGAAGCAACGCGAAGAACCUUACCAAAUCUUGACAUCCUUUGACAACUCUAGAGAUAGAGCCUUCCCCUUCGGGGGGGACAAAGUGACAGGUGGUGCAUGGUUGUCGUCAGCUCGUGUCGUGAGAUGUUGGGUUAAGUCCCGCAACGAGCGCAACCCUUAAGCUUAGUUGCCAUCAUUAAGUUGGGCACUCUAAGUUGACUGCCGGUGACAAACCGGAGGAAGGUGGGGAUGACGUCAAAUCAUCAUGCCCCUUAUGAUUUGGGCUACACACGUGCUACAAUGGACAAUACAAAGGGCAGCGAAACCGCGAGGUCAAGCAAAUCCCAUAAAGUUGUUCUCAGUUCGGAUUGUAGUCUGCAACUCGACUACAUGAAGCUGGAAUCGCUAGUAAUCGUAGAUCAGCAUGCUACGGUGAAUACGUUCCCGGGUCU